AAGUCGUAACAAGGUUUCCGUAGGUGAACCUGCGGAAGGAUCAUUAACACGUAUCCAAACGAUAAAACCCCCCUGUGAACCUUCAACACCAAUGCUCUCCAGACGCUUGAAUUUUGGCUAUCCCUAGUAAAUCAUUGCUUGGAAAGAUUUUUGAGUUAGGGACUUCCGUCAGCGCUCGCUGGAGGCCCUCACGGCCGGCGACCGGGGUCCAUUACCACGACCUACUACGUGGCCCAGUUUACCACCAUAACAUGACGCCCCGCGCGCGCCGAAAGGUUGUACGCACCCCUAAAACGAACAACUGUUAACAAUGGAUAUCUUGGUUCUC
Molecule: unclassified non-coding RNA, 328 nt
Filed under: fungal sp.
Lineage: Eukaryota; Fungi
Description: partial internal transcribed spacer region
Rfam family: Eukaryotic small subunit ribosomal RNA (bases 1-46)
Source: RNAcentral